RNAcentral lists this ribosomal RNA (253 nucleotides) under uncultured bacterium. Its description in RNAcentral is "partial 16S ribosomal RNA". It matches the Rfam family "Bacterial small subunit ribosomal RNA", at positions 524 to 776 of the family's 1533-position model. The record is from RNAcentral.
UACGGGGGGGGCAAGCGUUGUUCGGAAUUACUGGGCGUAAAGGGCUCGUAGGCGGCCAACUAAGUCAGACGUGAAAUCCCCAGGCUCAACCUGGGAACUGCGUCUGAUACUGGAUGGCUUGAAUUCGGGAGAGGGAUGCAGAAUUCCAGGUGUAGCGGUGAAAUGCGUAGAUAUCUGGAGGAACACCAGCGGCGAAGGCGGCCGACUGGUCCGGUUCUGACGCUGAGGCGCGAAAGCGUGGGGAGCAAACAGG